Molecule: ribosomal RNA, 368 nt
Filed under: uncultured Lachnospiraceae bacterium
Lineage: Bacteria; Bacillati; Bacillota; Clostridia; Lachnospirales; Lachnospiraceae
Description: bacterial SSU rRNA
Rfam family: Bacterial small subunit ribosomal RNA
Source: RNAcentral
UUCGGGUGACAGGGUGACAGGUGGUGCAUGGUUGUCGUCAGCUCGUGUCGUGAGAUGUUGGGUUAAGUCCCGCAACCGAGCGCAACCCUCGACCUUAGUUGCCAGCAGUUCAGUUGGGCACUCUAAGGUGACUGCCGGCUAAAAGUCGGAGGAAGGUGGGGAUGACGUCAAGUCCUCAUGGUUCCCUUACAUCCCGGGCUACACACGUGCUACAAUGGCAGGUACAGAGGGCUGCGAAGCCGCGAGGUGGAGCGAAUCCCAGAAACCUGUCUCAGUCCGGAUUGAAGUCUGCAACUCGACUUCAUGAAGGCGGAAUCGCUAGUAACCGCGAAUCAGCAGGUCCGCGGUCGAAUACGUUCCCGGGCCUU